UACAGAGUCAAUGUGGAGGCUAUAUACAGGGGGUACCGGUACAGAGUCAAUGUGGAGGCUAUAUACAGGGGGUACCGGUACAGAGUCAAUGUGGAGGCUAUAUACAGGGGGUACCGGUACAGAGUCAAUGUGGAAGCUAUAUACAAGGGGUACCGGUACAGAGUCAAUGUGGAGGCUAUAUACAGGGGGGUACCGGUACAGAGUCAAUGUGGAGGCUAUAUACAGGGGGUACCGGUACAGAGUCAAUGUGGAGGCUAUAUACAGGGGGGUACCGGUACAGAGUCAAUGUGGAGGCUAUAUACAGGGGGUACCGGGACAGAGUCAAUGUGGAGGCUAUAUACAGGGGGAACCGGUACAGAGUCAAUGUGGAGGCUAUAUACAGGGGGUACCGGUACAGAGUCAAUGUGGAGGCUUUAUACAGGGGGUACCGUACAGAGUCAAUGUGGAGGCUAUAUACAGGGGAUUACGGUACAGAGUCAAUGUGGAGGCUAUAUACAGGGGGUACCGGUACAGAGUCAAUGUGGAGGCUA
RNAcentral lists this long non-coding RNA (530 nucleotides) under Salmo salar (Atlantic salmon). RNAcentral's name for it is "lncRNA (ENSSSAG00000099613.1)". The record is from RNAcentral. Lineage: Eukaryota; Metazoa; Chordata; Actinopteri; Salmoniformes; Salmonidae.